GCAGGCAGCCCCUUUUUAGCACCGCCACGGGCACGCGAGCCUAGCCCUUAAAAUCCCAGCCCAGCCCUGGAUUUGCAGAUACUCAGGGCAGGGGAAGGCGCCUUUCCGCGUUUGGUGUAGUCCCGCAUGCUGCCAUAAGAUGGCACCAGAGAACGCGCCUACCGGGAUAGGGCAGGGCAAGGAGGCGGGAAAGAAAAAAAAGCGACGAGUGAAGAUUGACAUCCAUUAAGUUCAAUCUUUGGUUCUCUGACUUCCAAGCUUCCCAUUCUCUUAGGAGGCUGCAUUUGUGGCGCUAAAAGCAGGGAUGGGCGUGGGAGAUGCCGGGACAUGUGCUCGCUGAAGAUACACCUGUUAUUCCAAGUUGAAGAUGAAUCUAAAUGGUGGUUCAAGUAUGUCCUUUGUUCACCGUAGUGGACCAUCGUGGGAGCUUCGUGGAGUGCUUCCUCAGACUGCAACUCUACCCCCGUGCACAAGAAAAAUGAAACAAAGGGGGUAGAACACAAACAUCCCUGUGAAUUUUCAAACGCCAAAUUUUAUAACUCCUACAACGUUACUGCUUACUACCAGUUCUUUCUGACCCAGUGAGAUGUAAGAGGCCUUUAACUGGAUCCAAGCCGGUUAAUUCCAAGACCACAUCCGUUCCUAGACCCAGUCCAUUUUACGUUGUGACUCCAAACCCAGUUUGGAUCAGAAAUUUGCUCAAAGCAACUCAGAGAGCUCAAAACACAAAUGUGUGAAGCUCCAAAAUGCGAGAGGGAGCUUACUUAUGAUCCUCAGCCACUCUGAGAGAUCAAUGGACACAGUGGAUCAUGCCGGUACCUUUCGUGUUUACUCAGUGCUCCUGGAGAUACUGGAAGCUCCACUUCAGAUCCUGCUUCUGACACCAUCUGAUAAGAGAAAAACUUCAGCUGAAUUAAAUUUAAAGGCGUUUAAUUGAGCAAUGAACAAUUUGUGAAUCAGGCGGCUUUCAGAAUCACAGCAGAUUCACAGAGGCUCUGGGGGUUGCCUCGAAGUAAAAACCAAUUUAUAGACCAAAAAAAAAAAGGUAUAGUGACAUACAGGAACCGGAAGUGGGAUACAGAAACAGUGAGAUUGGUUACAACUGGUCGUUUGCCUUAUUUGAACAGUUUGAACAGUCAGCAGUCUGUGAGUGGUUGAAGUAUGGCUGCUGGGAUUGGCCAACACUCAAGUAUUGUUAGAGGUGCACACUACUAGAUUAGGUUUUCAAUCUUGUCUGAUUAUUAAGGUAGGUUACAGUUCACCCACAAGGACUCAAAUGAAGAAGUACAGAGUCCUUCUCAGGCCAUAUUUAGUUUGCUUUAACACUUUGUAGCAAAAUUCACUGGAAGGAUUGUCCAGACAUGCUAUCUCCAAACCCCCUCCCAAUCUUAUCUAAUUGAGAUUUUCCUGGUACCAUUCUACUGAAACACUUUUGAAAGCCAUCAGUGAUCUCUAUGUUAUUAAAUCCAAUGGUCAAUUAUUGCUUCUCAUCUUAAAAGAUCAUCCUUUAAUGGACUUUCUUCAGUUGGUUUCCAAGACAAUACCGUCUUGGUUUCCUUUAUCUUCACUGGUUACUUCUUCUCAGUCUCCUCAGUGGACCCUUCUUUUCUACCCAGUUUCUUAAUUUUGGAUCACUUCAUGGAGUCCAAUCAUUGGUCCUCAUUUGUAUCCACACAUACUCCCUUGUUAUCCCAUCUGGUCCCAUGGCUUUAAAAUCAAUCUACCUGCCAAUGACUAACACAUUUAUAUUAUUACUCAAACUCCUUUAUGAACUCAAAACAUAUAUAUCUAUUGGCCUCUUCAACGUCUCUUGAAUUCCAUCCAAUAGCCAUCUCAAACUCAUUUUGUCUCUGAUCAAACUCCUUAUCCACCCUCUCCACCCAACCACUUCACUGGUAGUCUUUCUCAACUUAGUGGAUGGCAACUCCAUCUUUUCACAUGUUCAAAUAAAAACGCUUGGAGUUAUUCUUAAGUAUAUUUUCCCCUUUCACUUUACAUCCAAUACAUUAUGACAUCCUCCUAAUUCUGGUUGGGAGAAAAUUCUUCAUGACCUCUCCCAUUUCUGCAUGUUUUAGGAGCAGAGACAAUGACAGCCUUUGCUGCUAACUUUUCAAGGAUGUUUGUAAAGAGGACAGCUUGGAAGCUAGAGAUAUUGCUUUCUUCUGAAGUGGAGGGCAGGUUUGCUUACUGUUCAGUAUGAGAAAGAUAAUGUCUGUGUCUGGAGCAAACUUCAGACAGCUUUGCUUGCAGUACAUUAUAAAACAUCUAGGCUCCCUAAAUUCAGGGUUCCUUGGCUGCCGCACACAUCUGUUGCAUUUGCAACAUUAAUCUGCUUUUCUGUAUUUCCUCUGUAGGACUUGUGGAGCCAGGAGGACGGACACAAACACAAAAAUCUUUCUCCCUGUUUAGUGAGUAAUAAAUUAGUGUCUUUGACCCAGGAAGUUUGUGUCACCUGCCAGCAUUUACAAAACAGUGCCCCAAGUAGGGCAAACUUUUAGAUGCUUCACAGUUCUUGGCAGUGUAUUCUGGAUGGAGAAUGUCUUUAGUCUUUUAUCAAUGGAGAACCAGAAUGCUCCUUUUAAAACAAAAGCCAGAUUUCAUCAUUCCUUUGUGCAACUCCUGCAGUAACUCCCAAUCACAUUCAGAGGAAGAGAUAUAAAUCCCUAUAACAGCCCUCUAAGUUCUCCAUGACUUAGACUCCAGUCACCUCCUUGACAUCCCCCCAGUCACAUCCAUGACCUUACUCUCUUUGGCCACUCUGUUUCAGGCACUUGGCUGUCAUUUUUCUUUUGCCUGCAUUCUGUUUUCUCAAAAGACCUGGAGAAACCUCUAUUACCUUCUUUAAGUCUUCACUUAAAGCCACCUGCUCAAUGAGGCCUCCUUUGACCAUCCUAUUAAAAAUUACAACUGCUCCCCUAGUCUCUCUGCAAUGCUCCUGUGCCCCAUUGUCAUUCUCUGCCUGUUUUCAUUUUUUGUUGACAGGGUCUCACUCUGUCACCCAGGCUAGAGUGCAGUGGCUGAAUCACGACUCACUGCAGCCUUGACCUUUCAGGCUCAAACAAUCCUCCCACCUCAGUCUCCUGAGUAUCUGGGACUACAGGCAUGAAUCACUGUGCCCAGCUAAUUGUUUUAUUUUUAUUUUAUUGGAUGGGGGGAUCUUUGCCUCCCAUACUGGUCUCAUAAUCCUGUUUAUAGUUUUAUAACCUUCUGUGCCAAACUCUGAUGCCUUAAAAUAUCUAGCAGUGAGAAAUAUAAAACCCAGACAAAAAUGUAUGUUGACAAUUCUGAAGACAUUUCUAUUUUUAUUUUACAAUAAUUUUAAUGAUAGCUUGCUAAAGAUGUCCUUAAGUAACAUGAACAUGAAAAAGACUUUGGACUUAUUAACUUAAUCUAUGAGCACUCUUUUAUUUAUAAGCCAAUUUUGUAGUGACAACAUAUAACGUAAUACAUGUGCCUACACAUAAACACAUCUAGAUGCAUAUACACACAAAGACCCAAUAGCGUUUACCUGGGAACUAAAGCUAUAGCAAUACAAACUUACCAGUCUGCAAACAUGUCCACAUGGCUGAACUUGGUUAACCUUGAUAGGUAAUCCACUGAAGGCUGUGAAUCAAAAUUUUGGGUAAAGCCGUUUCUGUGGCAGUUUAAUCUUUAAAGGCCAAACUUCUCCAGACUCCAAAGAACACGGGUCAAACAGCACCACAGGAGAACACCACAUACUAACCUGGACCAACAGCAGCACAGAAGCCUGGAUACAUGGAAUUUCAAUCCGCUUUCUCAUUCAAUAGCAACUCCAAAUUCAAACUAUACUGGUGCCAAACAGUCUUACAAAAGAGUAUCAGUUUAUCAAAUUCUAAUUUCCCAUGACUAUGCAAACAGACACAUGCAAACAGUCACUAAAACACUAUGCAACUGCUUCAGGAUCAAACAGCCCCAAAAGUGUGCAAACUGAAAGAGUUGGGGUGCUUCAUCUCUCCAUUGGUUAAACUCAAUAAACCUGUAAGUGAAAAUUCCUUCAGAAUUUCUCAAAUGGAGAGGAGCUGAUCCCAUUGUCUGGUACCCACAAAAGACACUCACUUGCCUGGAUACACAUACCAUGAAAAGCCCCCAAGAGUGUCCAUACUGGAACAAUCAGGGUACUUCCCUCUCUUCAUCAGUUGGGCUUGUUCAACCUGCAAGUGGAAAUUCCUUUAAAAAUUUCUCAAAUUGAGAGGAGCACAUCCUUCUGUCUGAGCCCACAAAAGACAGUCACCUCUCUGGAUGUCAAAUUUCAAAGGCAGUUUUUCCAAGGCAAUCAGGAACAUGGAGAGAGAGAGAACUCAUCUCCAGCCAACAUUGGGUAAGUAGCUGCUUAGGAGAGCUUUGAGACUCCUGGUCCAUGGCAGGUGAGCCAAAGUGUUCCUGACUGGAGAACCAAAAUCUUACUGAAACACCAGGGGUGUGGUCUAGGUCCUGCAGCUCACCGCACAGAAAACCAAUCAAUAUCACCGCCAAGGAAGAAGACUGAAUUGGAUGCUGUAGCAGAGGCGAUGGGAGCUCAGUCUCAAAUCAAUCUCCCUGAGCAACUAAAAUUACGAGUUUACAUAGCAGGGAAGAAAUGUAACAAUGUGUAGCAAAACAGGAACUCAGGAGACCUAAGGAAGCAAUCAUAAUUUAUGAGAAGCCUGGUGUCCCAUUGUCUGAAUGGGCUCAUCUAAUGAGUUUCAAUUCUUUGAUGCUUUUUGAGGGAGGUAGGUGUCCUUUACUAAGGAAGAAAUUCAUAUAAAACAAAUGAAAGUUUCAAGCUUUAAGACCAGAGAGGUGAAUUUCUAUGUUUAUACAAAAAACUAUCUACGGGACUACAAGGGAGGUUUCAAUCCAGUGCCAGUGCUAGCUCCAGUCUGCCUCAAAUCUGCCUAUUCUUCUGGCAAACUCUGUGUCAGGACCUUGGCCAGGAGAAUAGCUUCCUUUCCCAUCUGUGGGCUCCUCUCCCAUCUGUAGGGCUGCUGAGCUUGGCAGUUUCUUAGACCACUUCAGUUCUGAGCAAACUUUCAGACCAGCUCUGGAGUCUCUCUAGAACUCAGCCCGUGCUUAUAAGGUGCAGUGGGAUAAGGCUGGAACUAGACGCCUUCCUCUCAGAAACACAAGCUAUCUGACAGAGUGGUUACUCUCUAGGACUCCAGCAGGGGAUUCUCCAAGUCCACUUCUCUGAUGUAUCUAGUCUGUGGAUCAAAACGGAAAGGUUUAGCCUUAUGUGUCAUGGCCUCAGACUCUCUGGGCCUAGCUCAGUUCUGAUAUCAGUCCCACCAUACUCAGUAUUAGUCAUAAGUGACUUCCCGAAACACUCAUGGCAGCUUGGAUUCUGGCACAGACAUGGGCUCUGUGAAUGGAAGCAAUGAAUUCUGGUUUCACAGGUGCUGAGGUUAUGCUACUCUGCUUUGGGCUUUUCAGGCUGUGUGAGAGACCUGUGAUUCUAGGCAUCUCCAGCUGGCUACCCCUGAAUGUUCUUCCGUCGUUUGGGAGUCUGCAGGUACAUCAUGAGGUCAUGGGGAGUAGACACCUAGGAGAGCCAUUUGCGCAUGGCCCCACUUUCAGAGAGGGUCCCAAAUUUGAGAUUUCAGCGUUAUCACCCAAUGGUACAGAAACUCAAGACAGAAUGGAGGAAACACUUUCACCAUAAAUUACACACUGCCAAGAGUCCACUCUGAAUUAAUUAAUGUUUUUUAAUUCUUGUUAUGUUCUUGUGAGUAGAACAAUAGUAUUGCAUGGCAUUUUUGUCAUCAUAAGCAUUCAUUUAUAAAAUAUACACAUUUUAAAA
Molecule: long non-coding RNA, 5797 nt
Organism: Macaca mulatta (Rhesus monkey)
Lineage: Eukaryota; Metazoa; Chordata; Mammalia; Primates; Cercopithecidae
Source: Ensembl